AAACUUUCAACAACGGAUCUCUUGGUUCUCGCAUCGAUGAAGAACGCAGCGAAAUGCGAUACGUAAUGUGAAUUGCAGAUUUUCGUGAAUCAUUGAAUCUUUGAACGCACAUUGCGCCCUCUGGUAUUCCAGAGGGCAUGCCUGUUUGAGCGUCAUUU
RNAcentral lists this ribosomal RNA (158 nucleotides) under Ogataea siamensis. RNAcentral's name for it is "5.8S ribosomal RNA". It matches the Rfam family "5.8S ribosomal RNA". From Rfam's summary of the family: 5.8S ribosomal RNA (5.8S rRNA) is a component of the large subunit of the eukaryotic ribosome. It is transcribed by RNA polymerase I as part of the 45S precursor that also contains 18S and 28S rRNA. RNAcentral also lists the same sequence under 3 other names. Lineage: Eukaryota; Fungi; Ascomycota; Pichiomycetes; Pichiales; Pichiaceae. The record is from RNAcentral.